AUGUGCUCUAAAAGGGCUAUUUCUAAGUUGUUUGCUUCUCACAUCUCCAGAAUUCCCAAGAGCAAGCUAGAUAUGCAGGUGGAAUUCCGAGUCCGGGUGCUACUUGCCAUGUCCAGAAGAACCUUGCCAAAUUGGACCCAAAACCAAGUCAGAUUCCGAGUUCCCGACACCACCGAAAUAUUGACCAUGAACUCUUUUUACUACUUCCACAGGUUUCACCGAGAGGAAGAGGCAUUUCGAGGAAGAGAAGCGUCACCUUUUUAUGCUCAAGAUGAGAAUGGAAGAGACCAUGAUGAGGAGAGGAGCGGAGAUGCACCGGCCGCAUGCACAAGUGGAACUACAGUGCGGGUGCCAAUGGCAUUUCUCUUGCUUGCUUGCCCUAGUUAG
This 387-nucleotide ribosomal RNA is filed under the name Triticum aestivum (bread wheat). RNAcentral describes it as "partial small subunit ribosomal RNA". The record is from RNAcentral. Lineage: Eukaryota; Viridiplantae; Streptophyta; Magnoliopsida; Poales; Poaceae.